This 795-nucleotide ribosomal RNA is filed under the name uncultured Rhodobacterales bacterium. RNAcentral's name for it is "partial 16S ribosomal RNA". Lineage: Bacteria; Pseudomonadati; Pseudomonadota; Alphaproteobacteria; Rhodobacterales. The record is from RNAcentral.
UUAGAACAGCACAUGGGGUUUUGCGCUGAACGGAUCGCGCAGGAUGCGCAGAUCGGGGCGCUCGGCGAUCGUGUAGCCGGCAGCGAAAUCGCCAAAGGCAAUGGCAAAGGCAUCGUCCCCGGCAUCCGGCAUGUCCUCGACGAUCACCACCGGAUAGCCCAUCAGGCGCGCCGGCUCGCCGGCCGCCAGCCCGUCCGACCACAGGAACCGGCCAUCGGCGUCCUUCAGCUUGCGCACGGCUCCGGCGGUCUUCGAAUUCAUCACGAAGGUGGCGUUGGCGCGGUACUGCGCCCCCAGGGCAUAGACCAGGUCGACAAUGGCAUCCGCCGGGUUGGUGGCCGCAAAGGCCCCGUCGGCGCCGCUCAGCACGUGGCCGAAUUCGCCCCACGCCUCGCUCCCUGCCGCCUGGGUCGCAUAGGUGAGAAAGCCCGUCGGCUUGUCGACCCCGUCCCCGGAGACAAACGCCGCCGCUUCCGCGCGCGCGAACUUCUCCGCGAUCCGGCCCGCCAGCCAGCCUUCGACGUCAAAGGCGCUGUCGUCCAGCAGCCGCUGCGACGCUUUCGGCAACGCGCUCAGCUCGUGCAGCGGGAUGGUGAUCCGGUCGAUCGACGGCGUGUCGGUUUCGGUGACCGCCCCGGUCUCGCUGGCCCAGCCGGUGCCCACUUCGGUGUGAUCGAUCAGCACGUCAUACGAUGUCGCCUCCACAUUCACCACGCUGGCCACCGCCCGCAGCGACGAGGCCGAGCGCAGCACCGAGCGGAUCUGCUCCGCCGUUUGCGGAUCCACCAGAUAGCC